UACGGAGGGGGGCUAGCGUUGUUCGGAAUUACUGGGCGUAAAGCGCACGUAGGCGGCUUUGCAAGUUAGAGGUGAAAGCCCGGGGCUCAACUCCGGAAUUGCCUUUAAAAACUGCAUCGCUAGAAUUGUGGAGAGGUAAGUGGAAUUCCGAGUGUAGAGGUGAAAUUCGUAGAUAUUCGGAAGAACACCAGUGGCGAGGCGACUUACUGGACACAUAUUGACGCUGAGGUGCGAAAAGCGUGGGGAGCAAACAGG
RNAcentral lists this ribosomal RNA (255 nucleotides) under uncultured bacterium. RNAcentral describes it as "partial 16S ribosomal RNA". It matches the Rfam family "Bacterial small subunit ribosomal RNA", at positions 524 to 776 of the family's 1533-position model. The record is from RNAcentral.